UAGGGCUAGUGCGAAAGAUACUUCACAAGUGGUUGAUUUGGUAUCUUACUACGGCAGAGUGAUAGACAUCAUACUAUUAGAUUAUAAUGUUUUUUAUGUUCCUCUCUUCCGGUGUCACUGGGCAGUAAUGGGUAAUGGAGCUAAGAUAGAAGAUGGUUUCACACUAGUUAACAUGAAUCAUAGUCAAGUCUCUUUUUUAAAAGAUCCAUAUAUAUUAGCAUCGCAAGCAAAGCAGGUGUUUUACUUAAGGGAAGACGCAGAAUCAAGUUGGCAUGUUGUUAUGCAAGUUCCUUCAAGAAGAUAUAAUAAAGAUUUGGAUGAUGGAAUUGCAGACAUUGGACCAUUACCAGCAAAUGUGGACAUGGAUGUUCACAUGGAUGAAUCUGAAAAUGCCCGAACUGAUUGUGAAGGCAUAUUUGUCUGAAAUGGAGUCUGUUUGUCAUUUACAUUGUUGUUGUUUUAUUUGCUAUGUCUGAUGACUACUUGGUGAGUUGACAUGGGACCAAAGAAAGUAACAAACCGUGGAGGGAGAAAAAAGAAGAAAGAUUCUGAAGAGCCAGAAUUCUUGGG
Molecule: long non-coding RNA, 570 nt
Organism: Arabidopsis lyrata subsp. lyrata
Lineage: Eukaryota; Viridiplantae; Streptophyta; Magnoliopsida; Brassicales; Brassicaceae
Exons: 2
Source: RefSeq, a predicted model, not a curated record